CUGUCUCUUGCUUCAACAGUGUGUGGAUAGAACAG
Molecule: non-coding RNA, 35 nt
Organism: Canis lupus familiaris (dog)
Lineage: Eukaryota; Metazoa; Chordata; Mammalia; Carnivora; Canidae
Source: Rfam